RNAcentral lists this ribosomal RNA (253 nucleotides) under uncultured bacterium. Its description in RNAcentral is "partial 16S ribosomal RNA". It matches the Rfam family "Bacterial small subunit ribosomal RNA", at positions 524 to 776 of the family's 1533-position model. The record is from RNAcentral.
UACAGAGGUGGCAAGCGUUGUUCGGAAUUACUGGGCGUAAAGGGCGCGUAGGCGGCCAUCUAAGUCAGACGUGAAAUCCCCCGGCUUAACCUGGGAACUGCGUCUGAUACUGGACGGCUCGAGUUUGGGAGAGGGAUGCAGAAUUCCAGGUGUAGCGGUGAAAUGCGUAGAUAUCUGGAGGAAUACCGGUGGCGAAGGCGGCAUCCUGGACUAAUACUGACGCUGAGACGCGAAAGCUAGGGGAGCAAACGGG